Erigeron canadensis is the source of this 1624-nucleotide RNA transcript. It is a transcript of the gene named (S)-coclaurine N-methyltransferase-like, with no coding region annotated. The transcript has 9 exons. Lineage: Eukaryota; Viridiplantae; Streptophyta; Magnoliopsida; Asterales; Asteraceae. The record is from RefSeq and is a predicted model, not a curated record.
CUAGUCUACUACAUCUUUCCUUCCUAUCUUCUUCUUCUUCUUCUUAAAAACAUCAUUUUACAGAACAAAUUCUUUUCAGAAAAUGAGCAAGUUAGUACAAUUACCAUAUGAUGCUACAGUGAAACUAAUGAUGACUUCACUUGAGCGUAAUCUGCUUCCCGACACUGUUAUCCGCAGACUCACUCGUCUGCUUCUUGCUGGUCGUCUUCGUUCCUGUUUCAAACCCACUUGUCACCAGCAACUUCAAGAUCUUUUGGCUUUUGUACAUUCUUUAAAAGAAAUGCCUAUAGCUGUGAAGACAGAAGACGCAAAAGCUCAGCAUUAUGAGCUGCCUACCUCUUUUUUCAAUCUUGUACUUGGGAAGAAUUUCAAAUACAGCUGUUGUUAUUUCCAUGACAAGUCGAGCACAUUAGAAGAUGCUGAGGAAGCAAUGCUGCAGCUUUACUGCGAGAAAGCACAACUGCAAGAUGGGCAUACCGUCCUUGAUGUUGGAUGUGGCUGGGGAUCUUUAAGUAUAUAUAUUGCACAAAAAUAUAGUAAUUGUAAAGUUACAGGAAUUUGCAAUUCAGUCACUCAAAAAGCACAUAUUGAAGAACAUUGUGGGAAACUUAGUCUGAAGAACGUGGAGAUCCUUGUUGCAGAUGUUAGUACAUUUGAAAUGGAAGGAUCCUAUGACCGAAUAUUUUCCAUUGAAAUGUUUGAGCAUAUGAAAAACUACAAGGAUCUACUUAAGAAGAUAUCUAACUGGAUGAAAGCGGAUGGUUAUCUUUUCGUUCAUUACUUCUGCCAUAAAACAUACGCUUACCACUUUGAGGAUGUCAAUGAGGACGAUUGGAUAACAAGGUACUUUUUCAGUGGAGGUACCAUGCCUUCAGCGAAUCUUCUCCUUUAUUUUCAGGAUGAUGUUUCUGUUGUCGACCAUUGGCUUGUGAAUGGGAAACAUUAUGCACAAACAAGUGAAGAGUGGCUAAAGCGAAUGGACAAGAAUAUAAAAGCUAUAAAACCAAUAAUGGAGUCAACCUACGGGAAAGAUUCAGCAGUCAAAUGGACUGUGUAUUGGAGAACGUUUUUUAUAUCGGUUGCUGAAUUAUUUGGUUACAACAAUGGAGAAGAAUGGAUGGUCACGCAUUACUUGUUCAAGAAAAAAUGAUAUCGAGAUUUUUAUGACCCAAGUAUAUUAAUCAUACAACCAAAUAAGUCGAUAUGAAGUGUAUCAGAAAUAAAGUAAACAGCUGCUGAAUCUAUUGGGAAUGACGAUUAACAAUGUGAUAAUUACCAACUGAUGUUGGCUGAUUAGCUACGGAUUUAGGUCGAUGUUGUUGGCAGUUUUCUACUAGAGCUAUAAGAAGGCAUCUGCGUGCUCCUGCUUAUUUAGUUGGUUCACAAGCAUUUAGGUCUUGGAUAGUUUGGGUGGUGAGUGGUGACAGGUAACAAGUAACGGCACGAAAACACAAGGAUAUAUGGUAAUUGAGGUGGAUGUCAACUAAUCCACCUUAAUCUGCUCAUAGGUCUUCAACAGUUCAACUUGAAGCUUUUCUUCCUUGGCUUUGUUUCGUUAAACUCAAAAGACUUGCUAUUAUGCAACAUUAGUAAUGGUUUGUAUAAUUGCUUGCCUCUUCAUUAA